UAUGGGCCACCCCUGUGCCAGUGUGGAACUUCUGGCCACUUGCAGCAGGGAUCCUGCAAAACAACUGGAAUGUCUCAUAAAAAAAGGGAGCAACCAGAAUAGCUGAUGACAAGUCAAGACUUAAGAGUUUAAACCUAUAUCUUACUAAGUGAAAACUCAAAGUACUGUAGAACCAAAACCUGCGUGGGACUCCCAGGGGCAAAGCCCACCUGAAAAUGCCUUGCUAGGAGGCAGAGCAUUUUAUCAAAUGGCAACGUACAGAGAGAGAGACUCCAGAGCAACCAGCACUGACACAGGCAAGAACAUUUCCAGUGCCUCUCCCGUGUAAAGCAUUCCUGAAGCCAAACACGUGAGCAGUGAGGCUUUGGGUGGGAUUAAUCACAGAGCUCCUCAGCAAUGAAGCAGAGAUACUGAGACUCCGUCCUGGACAGGAAUCCAUCCAUUCUGCGUGCUCACCAGGCUGUAUCGCUUCAGCAUCUCCGCGUUGUCACAACUUCACUCUCAUCAGCAAUUUCACCUCCAAAUACGGCCACGGGGGCUUUGUCCUGUUCUUUAUUUGGCUUCUGGCCCUGGUCUUCCC
Molecule: long non-coding RNA, 580 nt
Organism: Nothoprocta perdicaria
Lineage: Eukaryota; Metazoa; Chordata; Aves; Tinamiformes; Tinamidae
Exons: 2
Source: RefSeq, a predicted model, not a curated record